GUACGGGAAAGGGAAGAGAAACAUCCCUCUCAGAUAAGCCUCAGCAUUCGGGGGUCUGUGUUACAGCGGCGUUGCCGCGACCUCUCUAACAUGAGAAUGAUUACAGGAGACUUCAUCCAGGGUGCUGAUGUUUGAAUUGGACAUUGAAGGAUAAAUAGGAAUUUAUCAAUGGAGGGGUGGAGUGGGUGCAAAUUCCGGAAGAGGGAACUCCAUCGUAUGCAAAAGUCUGGAGGCAAGAAAGCCCUUGGCUGAUUCUAGCCCGGCUUUUCCCCAUUAGAACCCCUGCUUGUUAAAUACAGAUCCCUGGGGCUCCCUCCAUGCUCACCCUCACACCACCACUCAGACCCUCUGAAUCAGAAUGCACGGGGAGCGCCCGGAGCCUGAAUCUUCACCCGGUGCCUGGGGUCAUUCUUGUGACCCGCAUACUUGGGAAGCGCUGGGCUGGAUGUGCGGGCUGCAGAGAGCAGCCCUGGGAGCUGGGUCGGGAAGGCUGGACUGAGGCAAAAGGACCCACGAAUCUGCUCUUUGGAACCCACGGAAGAACCCAGGGGGCAGCGAUUUCAGUCAAGACAGGACCUGAUCACGUCCACGGCAGCUCUGGGUGGGCGAGGGGCCCCACGCAGGAAGCCAGGCCAACAGGGGCUGAGAAGCAAGUGCGGCGGAGGCUUGACCCAGGAGUUCACAGGACGGAAGAGGUGGAUGAGAGAGUCAGAGCAGAGGAGGCCUGGGCACGUGACCAACGACGAAGCAAGAGUCUGGAGGGGACAGAGUUCAAAGGAGAGGGAGGGUGUCUGCUUGGUCACCAGCUAGGGAGGGUGCAGGGGCGAUGACUCCAGCUCUUUGACACGGCCGGUUUACAGCGAUGAGUGGAGGAGCUGCAAGGGACUUGGACUGAGGGAGCGGCUCCCGGAAAGCCGUGGACAUUCACGUAGAAGUUUAGAGGGGGCCCAGGCUGAAGAGUCCAGGCUCAUCGAGGAUGGGUGACCGCGGGCGCCGUGGGAGUCCACGGCCUCCUCCAGGGAGAGGCUGUAAAUGAGACAGAAAGCUGGACCCUGCAGAGACCCACCUCGGAAGGGAGGCAGGAGAGCAGCCAAUGAAACGCGAGAAGGAGAGGAGAGUGAGAGAGAUGGAGACACAGAGAGAGAGACAGACAGAGACCAAAGGGCAGAAAGGUCGAGCCAAAUGAACCCUGCCAGGCCACCGGACUGUGCGGCUCAGAGGUCACUGGGCAUCCCUGAGUCUUGUUCUUUUGCUGACUCUGCCAUGAAUGUCCUUGCCCUUAGUAAAGACACAGCCAAGUAAUUAGGGAUAAGGAGACAUGACAUCUGCAGUUUACCUGCAAAUGGUUUAGAGAAUAAUACGUAUAUACAUAGAGAGAGAGAGAAUGCUAAAGCAAAUGUGGCAGACGUUCACAAGCGGAGAAUCUG
RNAcentral lists this long non-coding RNA (1427 nucleotides) under Equus caballus (horse). RNAcentral describes it as "lncRNA (ENSECAG00000045914.1)". Lineage: Eukaryota; Metazoa; Chordata; Mammalia; Perissodactyla; Equidae. The record is from RNAcentral.